Long non-coding RNA from Armigeres subalbatus, 1300 nucleotides. RefSeq lists it as uncharacterized. The record is from RefSeq and is a predicted model, not a curated record. The transcript has 3 exons. NCBI's taxonomy places the organism in Eukaryota, Metazoa, Arthropoda, Insecta, Diptera, Culicidae.
AAAUCCGCGAACCAAAUUCCCGAGGUGUGAGGCUACCUUAAGGCUGCCUUACACCUCGGGAAAAUUUUCCGCCGGAUUUUGAUCCCCGUGCAUUUUAAAUGGGGCCGGGAUUUUGAUUUCCCGUGCCCAAAUGCCGAAAACAUCGCAUAUGCAAAAAUGCAUGGGGAAAAAAUCCGCGGACCAAAUUCCCGAGGUGUGAGGCUACCUAUAAAGGUAGCCCAAGGGGUAAACCACUCGGCACACUUUCAGAAUGGCUAAUUGUGCCCACUGUGCCGUUAACUGUGCCGAAGUGUGCCGAUUAAAAAAUAAUAAUUUUUCUGGCGGCACUGGUUUUUAUAUUUACCUAUUUGGCAUCACGGGAAAAAUGUGUAAAUAAAUAACAAAAACAGGAAUUUCUGAAUUUCCGAUAAGGAACAUUAAUCGCAGCUGAAAUAUUCCGUAUUCAACCGUAGGAAGUUUAAAUAAAAACACGCAGGAAAACAUAAAAAUAUGUCUAAUAUUUCGACAACCUUGGCUUCACCCAUGUGGUGCGGGAAAUUAACAACUGAAUCAUCGCUGCCACUAUCAUCGAAACCGGGUGCUAUAAUCACAAAAGCUACCGGCGUAUUACUAUUCCCACAAGCAAUAUAUGUUGCUGCCACUCUGUAUGAAUGCAAUAUAAAUCCCGAAUAUUCACUACCGAUCAAGCUACCGAUGCACGUUCAUCCUUUGCCAGCGCUAUUAUACGAUCCUGGGAAAUCUCCAGCUAAUUAGCAGCCGCACGAACUCGGACCAUCAACCCUCCGUCAUAUCCCAUCGACGACCAUUGAACCGGAGUCCCAUGCCUAAUCUUUUCGGAAGUGCUCCGGAACGAUACAUCGCCGAGCAUACCUUGUCGAGUAAUGCGGAACCGUUUGUCUAAAUGCAACAACUGAAAUUGAUGCUUCCGAUUGUCGUCCCGGACCAAAAGCACCCUCUCAACAACUUCGGGAGGAAAUAUCAAAGUGGCGGCAUGGUACAAGAUAACACACUAGUGGUACAACUUGUACCAUGGUACGAAUACCACCCAGUGUGUCAUUAGUACAAACCUGAAUAAAUAAAUACUCUUAAAUCAAAUCUUUCAGCGUACUGGUGCAAAUAUCUUUGAAUUUUCACAUAUAUUUGAGUAGAGUUUAUGCAUAUUGGCUAAGGAAUUUAAUAAGCACUGGAAAUUCAAUCUUCUUAGCGCCGUUUUUCAGAGAAUGUAAGUUAAAAAUUAUUUCUAAUUUGUUUUUAAAUUCUUCGAAUAAAUAUAGGGUUACAAGCUAUUUAGCAUGUUUAG